Molecule: ribosomal RNA, 682 nt
Filed under: Salmonella enterica subsp. enterica serovar Kentucky
Lineage: Bacteria; Pseudomonadati; Pseudomonadota; Gammaproteobacteria; Enterobacterales; Enterobacteriaceae
Description: bacterial SSU rRNA
Rfam family: Bacterial small subunit ribosomal RNA
Source: RNAcentral
ACUUAAAUUGAAGAGUUUGAUCAUGGCUCAGAUUGAACGCUGGCGGCAGGCCUAACACAUGCAAGUCGAACGGUAGCACAGAGAGCUUGCUCUCGGGUGACGAGUGGCGGACGGGUGAGUAAUGUCUGGGAAACUGCCUGAUGGAGGGGGAUAACUACUGGAAACGGUGGCUAAUACCGCAUAACGUCGCAAGACCAAAGAGGGGGACCUUCGGGCCUCUUGCCAUCAGAUGUGCCCAGAUGGGAUUAGCUUGUUGGUGAGGUAACGGCUCACCAAGGCGACGAUCCCUAGCUGGUCUGAGAGGAUGACCAGCCACACUGGAACUGAGACACGGUCCAGACUCCUACGGGAGGCAGCAGUGGGGAAUAUUGCACAAUGGGCGCAAGCCUGAUGCAGCCAUGCCGCGUGUAUGAAGAAGGCCUUCGGGUUGUAAAGUACUUUCAGCGAGGAGGAAGGCGUUGUGGUUAAUAACCACAGCGAUUGACGUUACUCGCAGAAGAAGCACCGGCUAACUCCGUGCCAGCAGCCGCGGUAAUACGGAGGGUGCAAGCGUUAAUCGGAAUUACUGGGCGUAAAGCGCACGCAGGCGGUUUGUUAAGUCAGAUGUGAAAUCCCCGGGCUCAACCUGGGAACUGCAUUUGAAACUGGCAAGCUUGAGUCUCGUAGAGGGGGGUAGAAUUCC